This 253-nucleotide ribosomal RNA is filed under the name uncultured bacterium. Its description in RNAcentral is "partial 16S ribosomal RNA". It matches the Rfam family "Bacterial small subunit ribosomal RNA", at positions 524 to 776 of the family's 1533-position model. The record is from RNAcentral.
GACGAACCGUGCGAACGUUGUUCGGAAUAACUGGGCAUAAAGGGCGCGUAGGCGGGCCCGAAAGUCAGGGGUGAAAUCCCACGGCUCAACCGUGGAAGCGCCUUUGAUACUGCGGGCCUGGAGGGAGGCAGGGGAGUGCGGAACUUCCGGUGGAGCGGUGAAAUGCGUAGAUAUCGGAAGGAACACCGGUGGCGAAAGCGGCGCUCUGGACCUCUACUGACGCUGAGGCGCGAAAGCCAGGGGAGCAAACGGG